GAGACUGAGCUUUUAACCCUAUAGACUCCAACAAGUUCCACUGACUGAACUGGCUGGCUCCACCUUCACAAAAAAGUAGAUGAAUCUUCCACUGCAUAAUCAAAGGCAAUUAAUUUGUGACAAUUAUCUAAUAACAUCCAUCCCGUGUUCCAAGACAAGGGCACACCAACCGGGACCAGCUCAGAACCCGGACCCCAGGGCUGGCUUCUAAUGGAGUUUGAAAUCACACCAGGCUGUCCUGCGAGUCUUCUCGGAGCACCGACCCUCCGCGUUGGGGAGCCUCAGAGGCGAGGCCCCGCCCCACGGCCGAGCCGCC
Molecule: long non-coding RNA, 316 nt
Organism: Talpa occidentalis (Iberian mole)
Lineage: Eukaryota; Metazoa; Chordata; Mammalia; Eulipotyphla; Talpidae
Exons: 3
Source: RefSeq, a predicted model, not a curated record